GCCAAGAUCCAAAUGCUCUUCCCCACUGCACAAUAUUUCCUUGCUCUCUGGAAAUUGUGCCUUGGUCUCUGGAAUAUGGGUGGACUUGGCCCAUGUACAGGUUAGGGACAUAGGUGAAACUAAUAUGGAUGGAAAUCCUGGAGGGUGACACUGAGUCUGGGGAUUAAGUGGAUGGUUUUGAGGAAAUCAACCCUGAAAACUCUGUCAUCUGCAGUGGCUCCUGAUGGUCUAGGUUCACCAGGAGCAGAUUAAGAAAGUGAGAGAGGGGACUUGGUAAAGAUUUUUCAGGGAUGAAGAAAACGAGAUUCUCAGACAUCCAGAUCUGCAAGGCUCCAGAGUUGAUGCAUUUUCUAUUUCGGACAUAGCUCGAUCUAAAAACAGGAGUUCCCAUCCACUGAGAUGAGAUUCACCUAUUCAAUCCGUAACAACCAUGACUGGUUGCUGCUGGUGCUUCUUCAUUCCACUUACAUAGGUACCACCUCUUACGUAAGCUGCUGAAAUCUGGGGUGACCAGCUAUGUUGCAUGCAGAUAAAUGUAUCCAUCUCCCCACAACUUUAUCUGAACUGAGAAUGAAUAUCAAAAAAAUUAAAAUGCCAGUUAA
Molecule: long non-coding RNA, 602 nt
Organism: Talpa occidentalis (Iberian mole)
Lineage: Eukaryota; Metazoa; Chordata; Mammalia; Eulipotyphla; Talpidae
Exons: 4
Source: RefSeq, a predicted model, not a curated record